UACGUAGGGUGCAAGCGUUGUCCGGAAUUAUUGGGCGUAAAGAGCUCGUAGGCGGUCUGUCGCGUCUGCUGUGAAAACUCAGGGCUUAACCCUGAGCUUGCAGUGGGUACGGGCAGACUAGAGUGCGGUAGGGGAGACUGGAAUUCCUGGUGUAGCGGUGAAAUGCGCAGAUAUCGAGAGGAACACCUGCGGCGAAGGCGGGGGGCUGGGCCGACACUGACGCUGAUGCGCGAAAGCCAGGGGAGCGAACGGG
Molecule: ribosomal RNA, 253 nt
Filed under: uncultured bacterium
Lineage: Bacteria
Description: partial 16S ribosomal RNA
Rfam family: Bacterial small subunit ribosomal RNA
Source: RNAcentral